This 1198-nucleotide long non-coding RNA is filed under the name Homo sapiens (human). RNAcentral describes it as "HSALNT0274980". The record is from RNAcentral. Lineage: Eukaryota; Metazoa; Chordata; Mammalia; Primates; Hominidae.
AGUGAAACAGCCUCAGGAGGUCUUGAGAACACGUGUCAAAGGUCGUCGGGCUACAGGUUGGUUUUACACAUUUUAGGGAGACAUAAGAUAUCAAUCAAUACGUGUAAGCUGUACAUUGCUUUGAUAUGGAAAGGCAGGACAGCCCGAAGGAGGGGGGAUGUUGGGGACUUCCAGGUCAUAGGUGGAUUCAAAGAUUUCAUAGGUGGUUGAAAGAGUUUAUCUAAUGACCUGUAAUCAACACAAGGGAGUUUCUGGGUUUAGGAAAAGGGUUUUGGAGCCAAGGUUGCAUCAUGCAGAUGAAGCCUCCAGGUAGCAGGCUUCAGAGAGAAUAGAUUGUAAUUGUUUCUUAGUAGACUUAAAAGGUGCCAAACUCUUAGUUAAAUCUCUCUGGGUCAGGAAAGAGACUUAAAAAGGAAUCUCUACAGAAUGUAGAUUUUUCCCACAAGAACCAGCUUUGCAGAGGCAUUUUUAAAUACAUUAAAUAACAAUAUCUUGGGGAAAAUACUUUGAUUUCUCUUAGGAUGUGGUAUCUGUCACAUUGGUAUCUUAUUGCUAUAAAGAGUUUUGUUUGUCAGUCUCAAGGUCUCUGUCUUCAUAUUAAAAGCUGGUCAGUUGUGCCUGAAUUUUAAAGGGAAGAGGGUAAGUUAAGGCAUAUCCAAUCAUCCGUUCUGAUCAUGGACUGCAUUGUAUUUCAGGUUGAUUUUGGUGUGUCCUUGGCUGAGAGGAGGAGUUCAUUCAGUUGGUUAGGGAGCUUAGAGUUUCAUUUUUGGUUUACACACCUAUGUCCAGGUAAGAGGGCCCCACACAGGAGAGCUUGCUCGGAACCUGGCUUGCAGGGCUGCUUACAGACCUUCUAUGUCUCCUGUUGUCAUGCACAAGGAAGGACACAGCCAAUGACAACCCUCAGCCAUCCGGGGAGAAGCUGUGUCUGCAGAGGACGGUCAUGAGCUGUGAGUCUAGAGACCUGUGAUUGUCUUCAGGGGCCUGUGGUCCUCGGCUUUCACAGGAGUUGUGGGGGCACUGGCUCAAAUAGCAUCCACCAGGAUUCCAAUCAGAAUAUCUCAUUCACAGAAGGCAGUGGGUGAUAUGACAGCACAGAGGGACUCUGUGGGGCCAGCUGCAUGGAGCACUCUGGGAGAGUCACUGGCACCCGUGCUAGGCAGAGCUUCAUUCAACUUCUGGAGCACACGGAUUUAGA